Long non-coding RNA from Mercenaria mercenaria, 486 nucleotides. RefSeq lists it as uncharacterized. Lineage: Eukaryota; Metazoa; Mollusca; Bivalvia; Venerida; Veneridae. The transcript is spliced from 3 exons. The record is from RefSeq and is a predicted model, not a curated record.
GUGCAUAAAAUAACUAAAGUACUGAAAAGUAAAUAAAGCAAUUGAAAAGAGUCUAGUGAAAAUAUGAGGACACGAAAUAGACUUUGUUUCUAGUUUUAACGAUUGACUAGCUACUAUUAUCACUCAGUUUGUAUGUAUUGUUCUAUUGUUCUAAACACGUAUUUUCAGAUACAGUGCCAGUAAAAGUGACACUUGUUGUUAGUAUCAACAAAAAGUUCAAGCCAGAACUAUCAGAUAAGUCAUCGAUCCUAUAUAAAAAGUACAAGACAGAAUUCAAAUCAAAGCUUGAGAGCAAGUAUAAGUCUAUGGAUAAUUUUCUUAGAGUAGAUGUUCUCGGAUUUAGAAAUGGAAGUACUGUAUGCGAGUAUGCAGUUGUUCUUAAACCCCGUAGUGAUUUGGCAAAGACAUCUAUACAGAAUAAAACUGAUUCGUUAAACGGCAUAAAAAUUUUCAACGAAACUAUGAAAUCAGAAAAUAAAACAAUAG